GCUGGGCAUGGUGGCGCAUGCCUGUAAUCCCAGCUACUCAGGAGGCUGAGGCAGGAGAAUCGCUUGAACCUGGGAGGCGGAGGUUGCAGUGAACUGAGAUCACACCACUGCACCCCAGCUUGGGUGACAGAGCGAGACUCUGUCUCAA
Unclassified non-coding RNA from Pongo abelii (Sumatran orangutan), 148 nucleotides. It matches the Rfam family "Metazoan signal recognition particle RNA". From Rfam's summary of the family: The signal recognition particle (SRP) is a universally conserved ribonucleoprotein. It is involved in the co-translational targeting of proteins to membranes. Lineage: Eukaryota; Metazoa; Chordata; Mammalia; Primates; Hominidae. The record is from Ensembl.